GACACUACUGAGAAAGAACAAAAUCAGGCACGAGACUUCCUGUCCUUACUCUCCGCACCAGAACGGGACAGCUGAAAGGGAAGGGCGAACUCUUUUCGAGAUGGCCAGAUGUAAGCUCAUUGACAGUGGCUUACCUAAGAGCCUUUGGCACUAUGCCAUCCAGGAAGCAGCCUAUACCAGGAACCGGUGUUUCAACAAGCACACAGGCACUACCCCAUACACAGCACUGACAGGUAAAAAGUGUAAUUUGGCCGAUAUGCAUAAAUUCGGGUCAGAGUGUUGUGCCUACCAGCAAGACAGAGGCAAACUAGAUUCUAGGUGUGACAGAGGAUUCUUUGUAGGGCACGACAAGGGCAGUCCCGCCUACCUAGUUUACUACCCGGGCAAAGGAAAAGUACAGAAGCACAGGCUGGUAAAGUUUGUCACCAAGACAACCUGUGAAAAUGAGACUCAGACUCAGGAGCUAGGACUGGAUCCCAAAGGGGGUUGUGAUAAGGGAGUAGAGACUUCACAGCCUAGCGUACCGAACACCGAUGUAUUGACUGAUCGUCCACAAUCCGCAUCAGAGGACGACUGCGAGAAGCAUCCUAGGGAGACGCCACACGACAGUGGGAGAUACCCUACCAGAGAGCGUAAAGCCCCGGGGUAUCUAAGAGAUUAUUCUCUGGAAGAUGCUGAUGACGACAGUACGCUAACUAGUGUAGAUUAUUGCUACCGAGCAGUUUGUGGUGUGCCUCUGACCUUUAAAGAGGCCAUGACAUCAACUGAGUCAGGAAAGUGGAAGAAAGCAAUGGACGAGGAGAUGGGGUCCCUAGAAGACAACCAAACCUUUACCCUGACUAAGCUACCAGAGGGCAGGAAGACAGUGGGAGGAAAAUGGGUAUAUUCGAUUAAGGGAGACAUUGACGGAAACGACCAGUACAAAGCUAGGUUUGUAGCGAAAGGAUACAGCCAGAGAGCAGGGAUAGAUUAUGGCGAGACAUUCUCACCGACAGCAAAUCUGACAAGUAUUCGUGUAGUGAUGCAGAAGGCAGCCCAAGACGAUUUGAUUCUGCAUCAAAUGGAUGUGAAAACCGCUUACCUACAUGCCCCCAUUGAUCGAGACAUCUACAUGGAACAACCUGAAGGUUACAAAAAGGAGGGAGAUGAGCUGGUGUGUAAACUAGAGAAGUCAAUCUACGGCCUGAAGCAGUCGGGGCGAAAUUGGAAUGAGAUGCUCCACACCUGCCUAGUAGAUGAUAACUUUAUUCAGAACCCGACAGACCACUGUGUUUACACAAAAGAGUCUACAGAGACAGGGAAGGUAAUAGUGGUCAUUUGGGUGGAUGAUCUGAUCAUCGCAGCCAGCAACACCCAGAGUUUGGAGAGGGUGAAAAACAUGCUUUCCAACAGAUUUAAGAUGAAGGACCUAGGUAGGUUGAAGUAUUUUCUGGGCAUGGACUUCAGCCAGUCUGACGGCUGGGUAAAAGUGUCACAAAGGAGAUUUGUUGAAAAACUACUGAAUCGUUUCGACAUGCAGGAGUGUAGGGUUAGAGAAACCCCAUGUGAACCAAAGCUAGAAUACUCUGAAGGUGCGCCUAAAAUCUCUGAUGUGAAGAAGUACAGGGAGGCUGUCGGCAGCCUCAUUUACCUGACAACCUGUACACGCCCAGACAUAUGUUUCGUAGUGAACAAGUUAUCACAACAUUUUGCUGACCCUACAGAUGAGCAUUGGGUCACGGUGAAACAUGUUUUGCGGUACCUCAGAGGUACUGCAGACAAACAGCUCUGUUUCACAAAAAGCCAAGGAAGCCUAGGCAUACGAGCAUAUAGCGACGCAGACUGGGCUGCGGAUGUUAGUGACAGACGCAGUACCACCGGGUAUUGUGUGAGUAUGAGUAAAGGUAGUUCCUUAGUAUCUUGGAAAACCAAGAAGCAACCCACAGUAGCACUCUCCACAUGCGAAGCCGAGUACAUGGCUCUAGCUCUGACAAUACAGGAGUGUAUUCACUUGGAGCAACUACUGGGAGGGAUGGAUUCCUAUGUGUAUGAGAAAACGGUUGUCUACGAGGAUAACCAGGGGACAAUUGCGCUUGUUAGGAACCCGGUGUGCAGACAACGGUUUAAGCAUGUGGACAUAAAAUAUCAUUUCAUCAGGUCUACCAUAAGGGAAGACAAGAUGUCCCUUGUUUACUGUCCCACCGACAACAUGGUCGCAGACGUUAUGACAAAGCCUGCCUCCAAACUUAAGUUAAAGAAAUUCGGGGAAAUCAUGUUUGGUGUAUAAAAUGUUGAUAUUUGGCUAUGCCAUGUUUUUGUUCUGUUUUUGUUUAUUUGGUCAUGUAAGUUUUGCACAGUAUACAUGUCAUUCAUAAGUGGGAGUGUUAAGAGUGUAUGAAUGCAUGUACCUGUAACUGUUUCCUGGGUCGUGAUAUCAAGAGCACCAUUCCCAUAUAAGGGCAGUGUUCCCUCCCCUUUUCUCUGUGUGUCCCCGUCUCUCCCGUGAGCGGGCAGUUGAGCAUGGUGUGCUUACAUUAAAGAAUGCCACGAGUCGGAUGGCUAAAGAGAUAAACGCCUGGACGUCCGUUCAUUCUCCGAAAAUCAUUGUUCCGCCGCGCAGGUAGGCCGAAUAAAUAAGCCUACCUGUCAACAGCGAUAAUUAGCAGGGGGAAGUAUUAAAUUAAAGCAAGGCAUUCGUUUUACGGGGCCAGCAUUUAUGACGGUAAUAGCAUCCCUAUAAAUGAACGACCUCCGAAUGCCUCCUGAUGUGUUGCCACUCAUCAGGCCCAGAGGCAACCGCUGAUGCGUCCACUGUGUGACCUCAUCCCCUCAGUCUUUGGGAUUUCUCGCCACCGGAGAGUGUGUGUGGGUGUGUGGGAGGGGGGGUUGUGGAGGGGCAUGGCGGUGUCGAGACGAGAUGCGUGUUAUCAUGAAGGUACAAUACGUUCUGGUGGAGAGCGUAUUUGGAGGGCAUUUGCAGCGUGUGAGAAUUCCUCUUUUUCUCAGGGUGUAUACGUGGAUUUCCUCCACCACUUAUCUUAUGUCAAUUCAGCUCUAAGUGUGGGCACACCCUGCCUCUGGGCGCAGACUGCGCAUGGGGAGACAAGGUGCUGCCUUUACGUGGGGGGGGGGGGCAGUCAUCUCUACAUGAAGAACAUGAGGCUGAAAUAAAGCCUCUCGAAAUGACUGUUCCUGUGGAAAUAAGCAAGGCAAGCGAGAGCAGAGGGAAAGCAGUGCCAUUUAGAGAGGCUAAAUCAUCCCCCCAACUAUAAAUCCACUGACCGCUCAUCAUUCAGCAGCAUUUUAAAAAGCCCUUAAAGAAAAACACUGAGUGAAAUGAAUAUGCUGUCACCUCUCAUUUGGGUCUGGCCCGCCAGCUCUAUAAGAAAAGUGUUGUUCCCUGGGAGGCUGCGGGCCCGAGCUGAGCUCUCAGGUUUAAGGUUUACCCCCGUCCCGCAUUCUCAAGGCUUUUGAGGCCCGGGUCUCUCUCUUUUUCCUCCCCCACGCCCCCCCAGACAUGUCUGACAGGCUGAACUCGAUGUGGGCUGCUCACCAGACUACAAAAAUCAUUCAUCUGUGCCGUCAGACGGUCAAAUCUGGAUCUAAUAAGUGGGAGCUCGCCUAUUGAUCCUAUUCAUGGGGAAGGCUUGCUGCCAACUGUCACCACUGGAGGGCUCUGUGGCUCAAGCUAGGAGCGGCUCUUUGAGGACUUCGCGGGGCCCCCGAGUCGCUUGUCUGUGCUGCUGAUCGGCGUCGGUAACUCAGUGUUAAAGUGCUAACUAACAGUAUGAAGGAGGAAAUGUGCUUGUGUUAAGAUCACCAUACCCGCGAUCGGUGCAAAGACAACAUGCUGUUUACAAACAUCUGCGCUGUGUUGUUGGCUUCCUAUUCCGGGUCGCCUUUGCGUGGGGGGGGGGGUUGCUGAAGGCAAAUACCACAGCAGCACCCUCUCCUGUUUCACCUGUGGCACAAACCAACACACGAAACUGGAAACAUACCGACGCGGCCUGCAGCGAAGCGUCCUGCAGGCCGCGGGGACGCCGCGAGGAGGGAGUCAUCUGGGAGGGAGCGAGAGGGACAGUGAGUCACGGCCACUUUUUUUUUUUUGGAUGGGGGGGGGGGGGUGUUUAUGUGUGGGUGAGGGCACUACACCAAACGCCUAGGCGAAACCCACAGCAUUCCACGGCGGCCCUUAAAGAGACAGAGCGCCGCUGUCGUCGUGGGUAUUUGGGGAGCAAAGUGUUAACACGUGGCCGCGGGCCGCUGGAGACGCCCGGCGAGGCCCACAGAAGCCGCUAGGUGGCUCUGACAGAAGACCUCAACCAAAUGGGGUUUGGGUGAUUUUUUGUUUCAAUUUGGCAAAGUGACAGGAGCUGAUACAAAAAAGAGAAAAAUACAACUUUAAAAAUUUCAGGUUUGGGUUUUUAAUCCAAAACCAAGCAGGCAUUUAGGUUUCACUUGUGUCACGCUACCGCUUUAAAAAAAAGAAAGUUGGUAGAAGUUGAACUGCGCCUGCAUUGCGGAGAUCCAGAGAUAGAGGGCAGAGUUGAGCUGUGGAACGCGCGGGACAGCGGCAGGGUGUCUGUUCCCAGUAAGUUGAAAACCUUUUUGAGUUGACAGAUGCGGAACGCUUGGUCCGUUAACUCCGUUUAACUUAAAGAAACCACACAUUUCUAAAGUCGCAGGAAGUUGCUUUUCUAAUAUUCUUAGUUAUUAUCAUCCACAAUGUGACAAACGUCUUCACAAAACAUGACGUGUGUGUACAACUCCACGGUCAGAACUGUGAGGAGCAUCUUCCAUCCACAGCAAAGUGGGUGAGCGGUGAGAGAGAAAGAACAUGAGAACAAGUUCUCAUCUUGUGUGGGUGUGAGGGAGCGAGGUGAGAGCUCGGCCAAUCGGGUGGUUAUAGAGAAAGGCCGAGGCUGGCGUCUAGUGUGUGAGAGCAAAAAAUGAAGUGUGUGAGCGCGGGCGUGUCCUACAGAGAGGAUGCAGAGAAGGAAAUGAAUUGGAGGUUCGGGGGGCAAAAAGAGAAACAGCCUGUUUCCUCCACGAAACUCCAUGGGACGGCAGGGACUCGACAUCCUUGAACCAUCAGUGGGGCUCUAAAAAUAGCUCAGUUUCUGCACAGUAAGAGGUGGGAGUGGGGCCGAGUGAAGUGCGGGUGAGUGGGGGCGGCUGGCGGCUGGAAAACGGGAAGACGGGGAGUGAAAAUUUGGAGCGAAGCAAAGAAACGCCGCCCCGCCAGACAGCGGUGAUGAGAGACGGGCCCGGAGGUUGGGAGCAGGAGAGCAUCAGUUGAGCCGCGUUAUCGCGGUAGCCCGCUUUCACUUUUAAAAACACCGGCGAAUAUUUAUCACAGAUUGCGUUAUUCAUGCCUGCUGUCAGACAAGCCGGCGAGGAGGUUGCUGCACGAGGCCCGGUGCUUCCCGCGAGAGAGUGAUUUGCCACCUGCUUAUGAACGGUGCGGAACUGAAUCUGCUUCUUUAAAAACCCAGCAAAGCAUGAAAGGCAGCGCAAUGCAAGGCAGAGAUCACCGGCCUGGUAGAACAGAAGACCUUUCCCAGCUGUGACCACAACGCACGAGGAGGUGAUUCUGGCGCUUUGUUGCUUCCCUGGAGCCGAAGCUCGCAGUCCGACCACUUCCAACUUCUCCACUCUCAUUGUGGGGCAGAAGAGAGAAAUGGUUUUGAACCUACUGACUUUUGAAAUUCUUAAAUUCCGUAUAUUUCAUGGACUAUGUUGAGAAAUGAGACAGUUUUUUCUUUUUAUUAGCACUUUUUUCUUCAUUAUGUGAAAAUAGGGUUUAUUUUCUGGGGGAGGAAGGAAGUGUACAAUAAAUAUCAAUUAUAAAAUUUCAUAUUUCUUCGCUUUUCAACUUAAAAACAGGCCCCUUAGCCCUGAUUGGUUAUUUACCUAACACGUGAGUUACAAACCAGGAAGUGAAGCAGCAUCAUGAAGCUGAUGUAAACAACAAGUUAUCGGCCUCCGGUUCCUUCUCACAAAUUGUGCGACCCAAGCAGCACACACCGGACCCGCGUGGUACACAAACGUGCUCGCGCAGGGAACGUGUUUCUGUAGCCAGAAUUUGCGCAGAGCGACCUGGAAACUGAACCACGCCGGGAAGCUUUAUGGCGAGUGGAACAACACAACAUGCUGACACCGUUAAAAACCCUUCAGAGGAGAGACAUGGUUUGUUAGUUAAAAUGCUGGGAUAAUGAAACAAAGCAUUAAUUACACUAUAUAUAUAUAUUUGUAUACCUAAGUCUGGUUGUAUGGAGGUGACGUACUGAACUAUUUAGGACCAGACACGGGACACAAGACAGACGGUGUUGAAAACCGGCCACUGACAAGCAGCCCCUUCUCCCCUCUCGUCGCCCUGAUAAGCCGCCCCGCGCUGGCUGAACCACACGCCUCAUCACGGGCCGGGUGGACUGAGCAGAGCCGACAGGUCUACCAGCGCGCUGACGUUGUUAUCAGUGUGAACACACCGGGCGACGCGGUGGAGCUAAAGACACCUCUUUCUCACAAGUGACCGGGGAAAAUACCUCCGCCAGCUCCCAAACGUCUCGUCUCACGAGACGAACUCAUGAGCUGUCUUCAUCCCGGCUGCAGUGGAGAAGGGAGGGACUGUGGAGAAUGUAUUAUACACAUUAUCUACUUUCCUGUAUUUUAACGAAUAUCGACUAGUUAUAAUUCAUUUUCCAGACGGCGGCACGCCCCGAGCUGGACGACAAAGUCAAAACCCUUCACCCCUCCAAUCGGGAGCAGUUUCUAUUUUUCUCGUUGCUAUCAACACGUCGUUUCUGGCACGUUGCCCCCUCUGUCCUCCGUCCCUUUCUCUCCCCCCAUCUGUCUCGCUGAUUGCCCUGCCUCUACUCGCCUGCGAGGCCUGCCUCUCCUCUCGCGUCUCUAAUGAGAGCGUGUGUUACCCAGGCAUUCAGAAAAACCUCCUCUGCUAAUUACAUGACAAGCAUCUCGUUCUGGAACCCUAAUGAAGAGGAAUAGCGAGCGGGAGACGCCACUGGACUGCUGUGUGUGUGUGUGUGUGCGCGCUGGGGAGGGGGGUCAAGCUGGCCAUUGGGUGGGGUGUUUGUGUGUGUCGGGCGGUGGGGGGGGGGG
Gasterosteus aculeatus aculeatus (three-spined stickleback) is the source of this 7098-nucleotide long non-coding RNA. Lineage: Eukaryota; Metazoa; Chordata; Actinopteri; Perciformes; Gasterosteidae. The record is from Ensembl.